GGAUUAGGCAUGCAAGUCGAGCGAGAAAGCGGUAGCAAUACUGCGAGUAAAGCGGCGAAAGGGUGAGUAAUACGUAGGUAACCUACGCCUCGGACUGGGAUAAUUCCUGGAAACGGGUUGUAAUACCAGAUGGUCUGGUUGGUCUGCAUGGGCUGAUCAGUAAAUGGUACCAUUGGUUCUGCCGAGGAAGGGGCCUAUGUCCCAUUAGCUAGUUGGUAGGGUAACGGCCUACCAAGGCUUUGAUGGGUAGCCGGACUGAGAGGUUGGCCGGUCACACUGGGACUGAGACACUGCCCAGACUCCUACGGGAGGCUGCAGUCGAGAAUCUUCCGCAAUGGGCGCAAGCCUGACGGGGCGACGCCGCGUGAACGAUGAAGGCCUUCGGGUUGUAAAGUUCUGUCACGAGGGAAGAACCGCUGGGGGUUAACAGCCUUCCAGCCUGACGUUACCUCGGGAGGAAGCCAUGGCUAACUCCGUGCCAGCAGCCGCGGUAAUACGGAGAUGGCAAGCGUUGUUCGGAUUUACUGGGCAUAAAGCGCACGUAUGCGGAGUCAUAAAGUCGGUUGUGAAA
RNAcentral lists this ribosomal RNA (571 nucleotides) under uncultured Planctomycetota bacterium. Its description in RNAcentral is "bacterial SSU rRNA". It matches the Rfam family "Bacterial small subunit ribosomal RNA", at positions 46 to 599 of the family's 1533-position model. The record is from RNAcentral. Lineage: Bacteria; Pseudomonadati; Planctomycetota.